UCUCGAAUAGCGUUGUGACUGAUGGUAUUUAAAUAUAAAUCCGAGACAAUGCUAUUCUUGUAA
Molecule: microRNA precursor, 63 nt
Filed under: Drosophila ananassae
Lineage: Eukaryota; Metazoa; Arthropoda; Insecta; Diptera; Drosophilidae
Description: Dan-Mir-986_pre stem-loop
Source: RNAcentral